CACGUGGACAACCUACCCUUGGGUUCGGCAUAAUCCUGGGAAACUGGGGAUAAUUCCGGAUAGGUCACAGAUGCUGGAAUGCACUGUGGCUCAAAGCUCCGGCGCCCAAGAAUGGGUCUGCGGCCUAUCAGGGUUGUAGUGGGUGUAAUGUACCUACUAGCCUACGACGGGUACGGGUUGUGAGAGCAAGAGCCCGGAGAUGGAUUCUGAGACACGAAUCCAGGCCCUACGGGGUGCAGCAGGCGCGAAAACUUUACAAUGCGGGAAACCGUGAUAAGGGAAUCUCGAGUGCCAGCAUAUAAUGUUGGCUGUCCAGAUGCCUAAAAAGCAUCUGUUAGCAAGGGCCGGGCAAGACCGGUGCCAGCCGCCGCGGUAACACCGGCGGCCCGAGUGGUAACCGCUAUUAUUGGGUCUAAAGGGUCUGUAGCCGGCCAGGUAAGUCCCUUGGGAAAUCUGGCAGCUCAACUGUCAGGCUGCUAGGGGAUACUGUUUGGCUUGGGACCGGGAGAGGUGAGAGGUACCUUGGGGGUAGGGGUGAAAUCUUGUGAUCCUCGGGGGACCACCAGUGGCGAAGGCGUCUCACCAGAACGGGUCCGACGGUAAGGGACGAAAGCUAGGGG
RNAcentral lists this ribosomal RNA (620 nucleotides) under uncultured archaeon. Its description in RNAcentral is "bacterial SSU rRNA". It matches the Rfam family "Archaeal small subunit ribosomal RNA", at positions 97 to 717 of the family's 1478-position model. The record is from RNAcentral.